AAGCUCGUAGUUGAAUUUCGAGACCGGUUUACUGGUCGUGCUUUUGUACGUACUGGUAUAAUCGGUUUCUCUUUUCUGACGAACUAUAAUGCCAUUAAUUUGGUGUUAGGGAAUCAGGACUGUUACUUUGAAAAAAUUAGAGUGUUUAAAGCAGGCUCACGCUUGAAUACAUUAGCAUGGAAUAACGAAAUAGGACGUUUGAUUUUAUUUUGUUGGUUUCUAGGAUCGACGUAAUGAUUAAUAGGGAUAGUUGGG
This 255-nucleotide ribosomal RNA is filed under the name uncultured Glomus. RNAcentral's name for it is "partial 18S ribosomal RNA". It matches the Rfam family "Eukaryotic small subunit ribosomal RNA", at positions 624 to 886 of the family's 1831-position model. The record is from RNAcentral. Lineage: Eukaryota; Fungi; Glomeromycota; Glomeromycetes; Glomerales; Glomeraceae.